Molecule: ribosomal RNA, 25 nt
Filed under: Xanthoria ulophyllodes
Lineage: Eukaryota; Fungi; Ascomycota; Lecanoromycetes; Teloschistales; Teloschistaceae
Also listed under: 1 other name
Description: partial large subunit ribosomal RNA
Source: RNAcentral
GAUUGACCUCGGAUCAGGCAGGGAU